Molecule: ribosomal RNA, 301 nt
Filed under: uncultured bacterium
Lineage: Bacteria
Description: partial 16S ribosomal RNA
Rfam family: Bacterial small subunit ribosomal RNA
Source: RNAcentral
CAGCCGCCGCGGUAAUACGAAGGGGGCUAGCGUUGUUCGGAAUUACUGGGCGUAAAGCGCGUGUAGGCGGGCGUUUAAGUCAGGGGUGAAAUGCCAAGGCUCAACCUUGGAACUGCCUUUGAUACUGAAUGUCUUGAGUCCGGGAGAGGUGAGUGGAACUGCGAGUGUAGAGGUGAAAUUCGUAGAUAUUCGCAAGAACACCAGUGGCGAAGGCGGCUCACUGGCCCGGAACUGACGCUGAGACGCGAAAGCGUGGGGAGCAAACAGGAUUAGAUACCCGGGUAGUCCCUGUCUCUUAUAC